RNAcentral lists this transfer RNA (72 nucleotides) under Chelonia mydas (Green sea turtle). It matches the Rfam family "tRNA". Rfam says of the family: Transfer RNA (tRNA) molecules are approximately 80 nucleotides in length. The record is from Rfam by way of RNAcentral. Lineage: Eukaryota; Metazoa; Chordata; Testudines; Cheloniidae.
GGCAGUGUGGCCUGGUGGGUAGAGUACUAGACGGCUACUCAGGAGACCUGGGUUCUAUUCCUGGCUCUGCUA